Molecule: long non-coding RNA, 772 nt
Filed under: Pan troglodytes (chimpanzee)
Lineage: Eukaryota; Metazoa; Chordata; Mammalia; Primates; Hominidae
Description: long non-coding RNA NONPTRT002571
Source: RNAcentral
CGUUUAGGAAGUUGUACGCAUACCCAACUGAAGCUUUCUUCCCUUCUCCAGUGGAGUGCACCUGUGCACAGAAACUCUCUCUGUACCAUGUACCUGCUGCCAGAAGCUGGGAAGGAGUGGUGCUGGUGAUUCAAAACUGAUUUUCCUGCCUCUUCGAUGCCUCUUUUAGUGACAUACAGUUAAGACCAGGCACUCAUGAUUUUGCCUCUGAGUGGAUAUCAACAGGAAAUAGUUCCUGUAUCAUCAACAGAACAAGCAGCUGGACUGAGGAAACAAAAACACAAAGUCCAAAAUAGUGAUAUUGGCAGGGUAGACAUUACACGCAGGAUACCGGAAGGCCAGUCAGACCAUGAGGGCUUGUGCUGCAACCCCUAAGAAAGUCACUAAUGAUAAGGAGCAGAAGAAGAAAAAGAGUUUUUCCUUUAUCCCUUCCUGGUCCAGCUGUGUAUUUUUCACAUGAGAAGAUGGAAAACCUCUCCUCAUCCUAAUAUAACCCAUCUGUUAGUAGCAGAACCUCAGAGGCAUUAGAAACAGUUCUCUUUUCUGUUCAAAAUAUUCACAGUCCUUGAAUCAUCUGCAUGUUAAACAAUAUUCUAAGCAAAAUCCACACCACUUGAAUAAUUGUACAGACUUGUAAAAGAUCUACCUAGAAACUUGUGGCUUAUAUCAUGUAUGAAGUCUGAUAAGGUUGUUCGUUAAAAAAUCGUAUCACCUUAUCGUCACAUAUUGCUUAUUGUUGAUAAAAAGGAAGAAGCAAUGCCUCUUGUUUUUA